UAAGGAAUAUUGCUCAAUGGGAGAAAUCCUGAAGCAGCAACGCCGCGUGGAGGAUGAAGGGUCUAUGACUUGUAAACUCCUGUAAAGAAGGAAAAAAUUCCCAUUUGAUGGGAGAUGAUGGUACUUCUGGAGUAAGCCCCGGCUAACUACGUGCCAGCAGCCGCGGUAAUACGGAGGGUGCAAGCGUUGUUCGGAAUUAUUGGGCGUAAAGCGCGUGUAGGCGGUCUUUUAAGUCUGAUGUGAAAGCCCCGGGCUCAACCUGGGAAGUGCAUUGGAAACUGGGAGACUUGAAUACGGGAGAGNGCAGUGGAAUUCCUAGUGUAGGAGUGAAAUCCGUAGAUAUUAGGAGGAACACCGGUGGCGAAGGCGGCUGCCUGGACCGAUAUUGACGCUGAGACGCGAAAGCGUGGGGAGCAAACA
This 420-nucleotide ribosomal RNA is filed under the name uncultured bacterium. RNAcentral's name for it is "bacterial SSU rRNA". It matches the Rfam family "Bacterial small subunit ribosomal RNA", at positions 355 to 774 of the family's 1533-position model. The record is from RNAcentral.